UGGACCAUUGGUAACGCCUGGCGGUGCAUGUCCAGGAUGAUGAAUAACAUGUGUCUGGAUGUCUGAGAUCUGA
Myotis davidii is the source of this 73-nucleotide non-coding RNA. Lineage: Eukaryota; Metazoa; Chordata; Mammalia; Chiroptera; Vespertilionidae. The record is from Rfam.